This is a transfer RNA of Camelus ferus (Wild Bactrian camel), 72 nucleotides long. It matches the Rfam family "tRNA". From Rfam's summary of the family: Transfer RNA (tRNA) molecules are approximately 80 nucleotides in length. Their secondary structure includes four short double-helical elements and three loops (D, anti-codon, and T loops). Lineage: Eukaryota; Metazoa; Chordata; Mammalia; Artiodactyla; Camelidae. The record is from Rfam.
UGGGGCAGAGCUCAGUGGCAGAGCGUGAGCUUAGCAUGCAGGAGGUGCUGGGUUCAAGCCCCAGUGCCUCCA